RNAcentral lists this ribosomal RNA (466 nucleotides) under uncultured bacterium. Its description in RNAcentral is "bacterial SSU rRNA". It matches the Rfam family "Bacterial small subunit ribosomal RNA", at positions 28 to 507 of the family's 1533-position model. The record is from RNAcentral.
GACGAACGCUGGCGGCGCGCCUAACACAUGCAAGUCGAACGGAGCUUAGAGAGCUUGCUUUUUAAGCUUAGUGGCGAACGGGUGAGUAACGCGUGAGUAACCUGCCCUAGAGUGGGGGACAACAGUUGGAAACGACUGCUAAUACCGCAUAAGCCCACGGUACCGCAUGGUACUGAGGGAAAAGGAUUUAUUCGCUUUAGGAUGGACUCGCGUCCAAUUAGCUAGUUGGUGAGGUAAUGGCCCACCAAGGCGACGAUUGGUAGCCGGACUGAGAGGUUGAACGGCCACAUUGGGACUGAGACACGGCCCAGACUCCUACGGGAGGCAGCAGUGGGGGAUAUUGCACAAUGGGGGAAACCCUGAUGCAGCGACGCCGCGUGGAGGAAGAAGGUCUUCGGAUUGUAAAACUCUAUCAGCAGGGAAGAUAAUGACGGUACCUGACUAAGAAGCACCGGCUAAAUACGUG